Molecule: long non-coding RNA, 1582 nt
Filed under: Pan troglodytes (chimpanzee)
Lineage: Eukaryota; Metazoa; Chordata; Mammalia; Primates; Hominidae
Description: long non-coding RNA NONPTRT001155
Source: RNAcentral
UUCAUUCCUGGAUUUAUUUGCUAACCUUGUACAAAGUUAACAGUUGUCAGAAAAAGAUAUAGUAAUUCGUGUCUUGAGGAGCUGAUGGGCACUGGGCCUAGGACCUCUUUGCACUGGAAUAAUGGGGGAGGGGAGCGGGUGACCUUAUCAGAAAUGCAGAUUCCUGGGCCCCACCCCAGACGGACCGAAUUAAGAGUCCCAGAGUGACGGCAGAAAUCUCCAUUUUUGACGGGCUCCCGCUGGGAUUCGGGUGUCUGCUCAUCUGGAAGCCUCCAUGCUGGAGAGGUAGUCAGCACAGCGCACGCAGGGCGUAGGCGUGUUUUCUCGUCCCUCCCUCGCAACCAUAGUCCCGCUCAAGGCGUGGGGGUGUCACCCGAGACCCGGGCCUCCCCUGCACUUUCCUUUAGGCCGAAACCGCGAGCCUUCGCUUCAGUGUCGCUUUUCCUUCGCCGCCGCCGCCGACGCCGCCGCCGCUGCCGCUCUUCUCAGGACCUAGAUCGACUGCCCAGUCGGCUGAGCUGGGCCCUGGGCCACCGAGGCCCGGGGAGCUGAGGGGCUCGGGACCCUGCGAGCCGCUUAAGAAAGGACCGCAAGAACCGAAUGCAGUGAACUGCGAGAGCAGGGAAUGAGAGACAAGUUAAACCGUUUAGCAAAAAAAAAUAAGAGACAUGAUGGAGGCAGAAAAUAAAUUGUAGGGGGGAGGGAAAAAAGCGUUACGACUCCGCCGGGACUCGAACCCGGAACCUUUGAAUGCCUUCAGCCUCUAGAAGUCCAAUGCGCUAUCCAUUGCGCCACGGAGCCACCUGUUGGAGUCUCAGCGCAUCUGCUGUGUUAAGCCAGAGGCGACGGCCGCGCGCUCUUCCGACCGCCCCUCCCGUCGUCAGUGUCACCGAGACCCAGCCGCCGCGCUCAGGGCACUGCCAUCCGCCUCAAACGCCGGCCGCAGGCUCUCGGUCUCCCCGCAGUGGUCGCCCCUCAACAAGGUCGGCGACCCAGUUGAGCCAAGGGCGGCCGCAGUCCGACGGUCCCACCUGGUCGGUAUGAGGGCAGCCGCAACCCGGUCCCCUUCACGGUCCGGGCCCAGCCGUACGAAUCACAGUCGCGCUUUUCCCUCCCCGGCUCCCUUCCUGCCCCAAGCGCCCCGCCUACCAGGUCUCUCCGGCGGCCGCUCCAGCCCGGCCGGGACCCCAGAGUUGCAGGCCCAGGCCAGCCGUUGCACCGUUAAGCCGGGCCGGUGACGCCGGGCCUUUACGUCGCGCCUGUGAGCGGCCGAGGCCGAGCGGCCGCCCCUCGGGCUGCGAGACGUAAGCGGCGACCCCUCUCGGGCCUGGGCUCUUCCCUCGCGGCCCGGCCGGCCGGCGGCCUGGACCUGCGGCGGCGAGCGCCGGUCGCGGCGACGUCUGGAGACAUUACCUCAUCCCUCAAGAUUGCUCGCUGCAAACACAACGCUGAGAAAUGGCCCAAGUAAAGCGUGAUCAGGGUCUUGCAUUCUUGGCACAUCUAGGAAGAACGUGCAAGGAUGCGAAUUGUGAAUCGCUUCUCCAAACAAUCCAUUAUUUGGGCAGGAUUCUGUAGGGAAAAC